GUAACCAAAACUGUGGAGGCAAAAAACUGUGGAUAAGGAGGAACUACUGUAAAAAAAGAUCUAAUUCCUUUGCAAAAAAAAAAAAAGACACAGAAGCUUACAUCUUCUUUCAGUUUCAGCAUCUCAGCUCAUACAAUGACCAUAUGUAAAGACUGAAUUUGUCAGUGCUACCUGACAAUAAUCUUACAGAAAUUUAAAAUCACAUAAAUUUCAGAGUCAAAAAAGAAAACCAUAAAGAUCAUAUAAUCCAAACCCCUUAUUUCACAAAUGAAAAGGAGGCCCAGAGAGACUCGUCUGGACUAUAGAGUUCAGACAGGCAAAGUAAUUGUCCAUAGUUACACAGCUAGUAAAUGUUAGAACUAGAACUCAAAUAAUCUAACAUCCAGUCCAACACUCUUAGAUAUCACAUAAUUUCAAACAUAAUUCUGAGGUGUAGUAAAAUUACGAAUAGCAACUUAUAAACUACAGAAAUCUCAGCCAAUUUCUCAAGUAUACAAAUAGAUUAGUACAAAGAUGAUCUUUCUGUAACAUUAGUAAGGCAGCAGGAAAAAUAAGGUAAGAUAAUGUACAAUUUUUUAGCCUGAACAUUUUUUAACUUUACACCUAAGGUAGUGUUAUAAAAGCACUGAAUAGGUGAAGAUAGAAGGCUUAGGAAAAAAAUAAUACUAACUAUCAGAAAAUUAUCUUUUAAAUUAAAGUAUGUCUUUUUUUUUUUUUGAGAAAAAAAUUGGGCUUUUAUUGGCAAUUACAAAAGUAAUAGAUUUUCUUACAUAAUACGUUCCUUCAGUAAUAUAUUUUUCAAGUAUUUUACCAUAGAAUUUCUAAAGUACUUUGUCAUUGACCCCAUAAUUUAUUAUAAAGUAGGUCCCAUAAUCACAUUUUUUGGAAGUUGCUGAAAUUGAGAUAAAAAAUAUUGUUUUUUUAUGAGAAAAACUGGACAAAAUACAGAAUGGCCAAAACUAGAUUAACUGGCUCAGUUAUGUCUACUAGGUGAAAGAAAAUACAGAAUCUGUUACUGUAGAAAUUUUAAGAGGUUUUGAGUCAGUUCCAGUAUAAAAAUAAGGCCAAAGUUCUCCUGUAAAAUCAUCAUUAAAAGUACAGAGAAGAGAUCUAUCAUUCAAAUUAUAAAAGGAAACCUCAUUCAUUUCACAGUCUAAAAAAAUGCCAAUCUUACUAGGUGUUACUUUUGGCAGCAGAAUAAUUUCCUUAUGGCCCAAUACAAUAUAAUUAUUCCGACUAGAUUACCAAAUUCUCCAUAAUCCAUCCUGUACUAAAAUUGGUUGACUCUUCCUCCUUGUGGGAGGAGAGUCACUACAGACACCAAGAAUCCAUUCAGGCAUGUCUUUAACUUCUACUUCCCGGUACUGCCUGCCACAAUUUUAUCCCUUAGAACCCAGAACAGCUGGGAGCAGAUAAAAUCUUCUUGGGUUAUGAGUUCCCAGAUGAUGCUGCUGGCCUGCGGACUGUACUUUGUGAACUUAUGCUGGAGCAGAUGGAUCAGAAACCCCGGCCAGAGGAUGCUCAGGACCCAUCAAGCCCCCGCGAGGAAGGACUCAGACCCCCAACCCCACCAAAUUAAAGCAGGCAAUGGAGAAUUAUACUGAAGGGAUUCUUCGGCUGGGCAAAAACAUGAUUAGAUCUGCAUUCUAAAGACUGCUCGCAGAGUAGAGGAUGGAUUGGAGCAGGGAGUCUACUGCAAUAGUACAGAUGCGAUAGUGAAGACUUCAUUUAAAGCAGCACCAGCAAGAAUGAGGAAGAAGGGAUUAAUAUGAAAAACGUUAAAGAGGUGGAAUGUAUAAGGCUCGAUGGCCGAAUGAUGGGAGGUAGGAAUAGGGAGUGUGUAGAAGGAGUCUAAGAUGACUCCCCGAUCUCUGGUUUGGGGGAAAAAAUGGGUGGGGAUAUCAUUAACUAGGGCAGGUAGUAAUAGGUACCCAGCCUCCAAGACGGCCUGUUCCAUGAUCCCUGCCUCCUUGUAUUCAUGCUCCUGUGUGAACUGAGGUCUGCAGCAAUCACCUGAGUGAGUCUGGAAGCAGAUUCUCCAGCCCAGCCAAGCCUUGAAAUGACAGCAACCCCAGCUGACAGCUAGACUGCAACAUGGUGAGACCCAAAGCCAGAACCACCUUCCUAAGCUACUCCCCGAUUCCUGUCUCUCAGAAAUUUUGUAAAAUAAUAAAGGCUUGUUUUACACUCCUAAG
This 2195-nucleotide long non-coding RNA is filed under the name Homo sapiens (human). Its description in RNAcentral is "HSALNT0309217". The record is from RNAcentral. Lineage: Eukaryota; Metazoa; Chordata; Mammalia; Primates; Hominidae.